UACGUAGGGUGCAAGCGUUGUCCGGAAUUAUUGGGCGUAAAGAGCUCGUAGGCGGCCUGUUACGUCUGCUGUGAAAUCCCGGGGCUUAACCCCGGGCGUGCAGUGGAUACGGGCAGGCUGGAGGCAGGCAGGGGAGAACGGAAUUCCCGGUGUAGCGGUGAAAUGCGCAGAUAUCAGGAGGAACACCGGUGGCGAAGGCGGGUCUCUGGGCCGAUACUGACGCUGAGGAGCGAACGGG
This 238-nucleotide ribosomal RNA is filed under the name uncultured bacterium. RNAcentral describes it as "partial 16S ribosomal RNA". It matches the Rfam family "Bacterial small subunit ribosomal RNA", at positions 524 to 761 of the family's 1533-position model. The record is from RNAcentral.